RNAcentral lists this long non-coding RNA (233 nucleotides) under Nicotiana benthamiana. RNAcentral describes it as "long non-coding RNA (NBEN_LNC031537)". Lineage: Eukaryota; Viridiplantae; Streptophyta; Magnoliopsida; Solanales; Solanaceae. The record is from RNAcentral.
AACUUUAUAACUGCUUUUAUUUAAUUUAACUGCUUUUAGAAUUUAUGGAAUUAUUUCUUGAUCGAGUUACGAUUGUCCUACACUUGCCAUUUUGGAACACACUGCAAACCGCGCUACAUGAAAUGCAUGCGUGAUUCGCGAUACUUUUAUUUUAUUAUUAUUCAAAGUUAUUAUGAUCGGGUCACAUAAAAUGCACACACAAAUUAGGGAUAUGUACCAUGACUAUGCCACAU